This 334-nucleotide long non-coding RNA is filed under the name Pongo abelii (Sumatran orangutan). Its description in RNAcentral is "lincRNA". Lineage: Eukaryota; Metazoa; Chordata; Mammalia; Primates; Hominidae. The record is from RNAcentral.
GCCACUGAGAUUUUCAGACACAAACCAAGAGGACUGAAAAGAUCUCUUUUCAGGGGGGAAAAAAAAUAAAAAGAGUGGAUUUCAAAGGCAUAUUCCCUGUUCUUUGUUACAGUGGGAAGUCCCAGGGACCAAGCUCAAUUGUCCUAUGAAGCUGAACUUUCAUCCUAAUAAUCAGAAGUAGCUUGUGUUGGACUCAACAUGAUCCCAAACUCACCUAAUAGCUGCUUCUGAGAAUGCAAUUUUCAGUCAGGAGCACAAGAGAAGUGCUCAUUAAAAGUGCUCAUGGAACUUCGUUAAAAGUUCCAUGUUUGGCCAAAACCCCAGAAAAAAAAAA